RNAcentral lists this ribosomal RNA (440 nucleotides) under uncultured bacterium. Its description in RNAcentral is "partial 16S ribosomal RNA". It matches the Rfam family "Bacterial small subunit ribosomal RNA", at positions 338 to 795 of the family's 1533-position model. The record is from RNAcentral.
CCUACGGGAGGCAGCAGUAGGGAAUAUUGCUCAAUGGGGGAAACCCUGAAGCAGCAACGCCGCGUGGAGGAGGAAGGCUUUAGGAUUGUAAACUCCUUUUGUUAGAGAAGAUUAUGACGGUAUCUAACGAAUAAGCACCGGCUAACUCCGUGCGAGCAGCCGCGGUCUUACGGAGGGCGCAAGCGUUACUCGGAAUCACUGGGUGAAAAGGGUACGUAGGCGGGGGAAUAAGUCAGAUGUGAAAUCCUGUGGGUUAACAACAGAACUGCAUUUGAAACUGUUCCUCUGGAGUGUGGGUGAGGUAGGUGGAAUUCUUGGUGUAGGGGUAAAAUCCGUAGAGAUCAAGAGGAAUACUCAUUGCGAAGGCGACCUGCUGGAACAUUACUGACGCUGAUGCACGAAAGCGUGGGGAGCAAACAGGAUUAGAUACCCGAGUAGUC